This 525-nucleotide ribosomal RNA is filed under the name uncultured bacterium. RNAcentral describes it as "bacterial SSU rRNA". It matches the Rfam family "Bacterial small subunit ribosomal RNA", at positions 15 to 518 of the family's 1533-position model. The record is from RNAcentral.
GAUCAUGGCUCAGGACGAACGCUGGCGGCGUGCCUAAUACAUGCAAGUCGAGCGAAUGAUUAGAGAAGCUUGCUUCUCUCUGAUUUAGCGGCGGACGGGUGAGUAACACGUGGGUAACCUACCCUAUAGACUGGGAUAACUUCGGGAAACCGGAGCUAAUACCGGAUAAUACUUCGAAACACAUGUUUUGAAGUUGAAAGAUGGUUUCGGCUAUCACUAUAGGAUGGACCCGCGGCGCAUUAGCUAGUUGGUGAGGUAACGGCUCACCAAGGCAACGAUGCGUAGCCGACCCGAGAGGGUGAUCGGCCACACUGGGACUGAGACACGGCCCAGACUCCUACGGGAGGCAGCAGUAGGGAAUCUUCCACAAUGGACGAAAGUCUGAUGGAGCAACGCCGCGUGAAGUGAAGAAGGAUUUCGGUUCGUAAAACUCUGUUGCAAGGGAAGAACAAGUAGCGUAGUAACUGGCGCUACCUUGACGGUACCUUGUUAGAAAGCCACGGCUAACUACGUGCCAGCAGCAGC